AAAUUAGUAUAAGAAAGAUUGAGUUGUAAUAAAUUUAUUUGCCAUAAAAAUAUACUUAGUCUAUAAUUAGAAUGUACUAAAUAAAUUAACUAUUAAUAACAAUAUUUAUUUUUAUAUUUAUAAAAAAUUUAAUUUAUAUUUAGGUAUAAUUGGAGAACAUUAGUAAUAUAUUUGUUAGUAAUUUUAGUUAUAGAUUUUUAAUCUUGAAGCCCGCGUACGACGAGCAAAAUUUGUGCCAGCAGCUGCGGUUAGACUUAUGGUCGGAAUUUAUACUAAUAGGAUUUAGAGUAAAAUAAAAUUUUUAAAGUUUGGUGAAAUAUAUUUAAUAAUAAUCUUAAAAUCUAAAAAUUUCAUGCAAAACUAGGAUUAGAGACCCUAUUAUUUCGUUUAAAGGCCUAGUGAUAAUUUUUGAUAAUUUGGCGGCAUGUCUAUUUUAGAGGAACUUGCCGGUAAUCGAUAAACCCCGUUUUAUUAAACUUUUGUUUUUCUUGUAUAUCGUUAUAUAGAUUUUUUUUAAAAAUAAAUUAUUAGGGUUUAGUUUAAAAAGCUAGAUCAGGGUGCGGAUUAGAAAAGAGUGUGUGUUAGUUACAAUUACUAAUUAAAAUAACAGGAAAGAUGAAAAUUUUAGUUAAAGGUGAAUUUAAUUGUAAUUACAUAGAAUUGAAUAAUUAGAUAUGUGUACAAAUCGCCCGUCACUCCUUUUAGGAUAAGUCGAAACAAAGUAAGAGCACCUGAAGGUGCUCUUAAAAAUGA
Molecule: non-coding RNA, 753 nt
Filed under: Onisimus nanseni
Lineage: Eukaryota; Metazoa; Arthropoda; Malacostraca; Amphipoda; Lysianassidae
Source: RNAcentral